This 84-nucleotide microRNA precursor is filed under the name Bombyx mori (domestic silkworm). RNAcentral's name for it is "mir-2807 microRNA precursor family". It matches the Rfam family "mir-2807 microRNA precursor family". The record is from Rfam by way of RNAcentral. Lineage: Eukaryota; Metazoa; Arthropoda; Insecta; Lepidoptera; Bombycidae.
UUAACUCAAUUUUGUAUGGACUUGGAACAGCGCCCCUAGUGGCAAACGUAGGCAAACGUUCCGACUCCAUACAAAUUUGAGUUA